GACGAACGCUGGCGGCGUGCUUAACACAUGCAAGUCGAACGGAAAGGCCCUGCUUUUGUGGGGUGCUCGAGUGGCGAACGGGUGAGUAACACGUGAGUAACCUGCCCUUGACUUUGGGAUAACUUCAGGAAACUGGGGCUAAUACCGGAUAGGAGCUCCUGCUGCAUGGUGGGGGUUGGAAAGUUUCGGCGGUUGGGGAUGGACUCGCGGCUUAUCAGCUUGUUGGUGGGGUAGUGGCUUACCAAGGCUUUGACGGGUAGCCGGCCUGAGAGGGUGACCGGCCACAUGGGAAUAGUGAAAGGGCCCGGAGCCUACAGGGAGGGGUUAGGGGAAAAUAUCAGCGAAGGGGCGCAAGCCUUAGCCGGCAACCCCGCGGGGGGAAAGACGGCCAUCGGUUUAAAACCCGCUUUAGCCUGGGACAAGGCUGGAGUGACGUUAAUGGGUAAAAAAGCCCCGGCUAACUACGUC
This 468-nucleotide ribosomal RNA is filed under the name uncultured bacterium. RNAcentral's name for it is "partial 16S ribosomal RNA". It matches the Rfam family "Bacterial small subunit ribosomal RNA", at positions 28 to 507 of the family's 1533-position model. The record is from RNAcentral.